GACGAACUGUGCGAACGUUAUUCGGAAUCACUGGGCUUACAGGGUGCGUAGGCGGCCACGUAAGUAGGGUGUGAAAUCCCCCGGCCCAACCGGGGAACUGCGCUCUAAACUACAUGGCUUGAGUGAGCUAGGGGUCCACGGAACUUCCAGUGGAGCGGUGAAAUGUGUUGAUAUUGGAAGGAACACCGGAGCCGAAAGGG
This 200-nucleotide ribosomal RNA is filed under the name uncultured bacterium. RNAcentral's name for it is "partial 16S ribosomal RNA". It matches the Rfam family "Bacterial small subunit ribosomal RNA", at positions 524 to 723 of the family's 1533-position model. The record is from RNAcentral.